AGUCUUCAAUUUUGUCUGGUAUCUGAGCCCUGCCUCUGGAAUCAAGUCCUGCCUCCUACCUCAGUCACAUGGAGUAAUCUCCAUAAAGAACUACCAUCCGAAGAUAAGAAUCAUCACUCAAAUGCUGCAGUAUCACAACAAGGCCCAUCUGCUAAACAUCCCGAGCUGGAAUUGGAAAGAAGGUGAUGACGCAAUCUGCCUCGCAGAGUUGAAGUUGGGCUUCAUAGCCCAGAGCUGCCUGGCUCAAGGCCUCUCCACCAUGCUUGCCAACCUCUUCUCCAUGAGGUCAUUCAUAAAGAUUGAGGAAGACACGUGGCAGAAAUACUACUUGGAAGGAGUCUCAAAUGAAAUGUACACAGAAUAUCUCUCCAGUGCCUUCGUGGGUCUGUCCUUCCCUACUGUUUGUGAGCUGUGUUUUGUGAAGCUCAAGCUCCUAAUGAUAGCCAUUGAGUACAAGUCUGCCAACCGAGAGAGCCGUAUAUUAAUUAAUCCUGGAAACCAUCUUAAGAUCCAAGAAGGUACUUUAGGAUUUUUCAUCGCAAGUGAUGCCAAAGAAGUUAAAAGGGCAUUUUUUUACUGCAAGGCCUGUCAUGAUGACAUCACAGAUCCCAAAAGAAUAAAAAAAUGUGGCUGCAAACGGCUUGAAGAUGAGCAGCCGUCAACACUAUCACCAAAAAAAAA
RNAcentral lists this small RNA (681 nucleotides) under Pongo abelii (Sumatran orangutan). RNAcentral's name for it is "processed transcript". Lineage: Eukaryota; Metazoa; Chordata; Mammalia; Primates; Hominidae. The record is from RNAcentral.